RNAcentral lists this long non-coding RNA (910 nucleotides) under Gallus gallus (chicken). Its description in RNAcentral is "lncRNA (ENSGALG00010019484.1)". Lineage: Eukaryota; Metazoa; Chordata; Aves; Galliformes; Phasianidae. The record is from RNAcentral.
CGGGCGGAGGUGUCAUGGCCGCACGGCGGUGCAGGAGGCCCUGCGCGCUUCCCCCCCUUUUGGCGGCGGCUCGCGGUGCCCCUCAAGGCGACUCGGCCUCGAAGGCUCAGCCCGGCGUGGGGGGCGGCAGCGAAUCCCAGUGUCUUGGCGGUUCCCUUAUACGAGAGGUGUAGGAAACCCGGUGCCUGCCGUAUUAAUUAAUGCGUGUGGUCAUUAAUCUUCAGUCCAAAGGGCUCCAAUCUUUCACUUUACAGCUUACAAUCACAUCCAAAUUUUCAUGCUAAUUUAGAAAAAAUUACAGAAUUGCAACGGUUGGGAGAGACCUCGAGAUCGUCAAGUCCAACCCCCUUACUAAAGCGGUUACCCUACAACAGGUCACACAGGAUGGAAUCUUAACAUAAAUACAUGGCUUGGGUUGGAAGAGACCUCAAGGAUCACCAGGUUUCAACCCCCCUGCCACUGGGCUGCCAACCGCUAGAUCAAGCUCUAGAUCACAAUGCCCAGGGCCCCAUCCAACCCAGCCUUGAACACCUCCAGGGAUGGGGCAUCCACCACCUCUCUGGGCAGCCUGUGACAGUACUUUAUCACUCUCAACAAAAAAUUUCUCCCUGCAUCUGAUCUAAAUCUUCCAUCCUUUAGUUUAAAGCCAUUCCCUCUUGUCCUAUCAUUAUCUACCCAUGUAAAGAGUUGUCUUCCCUCAAGUUUAUCAUCUCCCUUUAAAUAUUGGAAAGCUGUAAUGCAGUCUCCCUGGAGCCUUCUCCAAGCUGAACAAGCCAAGCUCCUUCAGCCUGUCUUCUUAGGAGAAGUGCUCCAGCCCCCAGAGCAUCUUUGUGGCCCUCCUUUGAACCCUCUCCAAAAACUCUACAUCUUUUCUGUUAUUUUGUCACCCAUGACAAUUGCUCGUUAUUCU